GACGAACGCUGGCGGCGUGCCUAAUACAUGCAAGUCGAGCGAUGAGGCUUGGUGCUUGCACCAAUUUGGAGAGCAGCGGACGGGUGAGUAACGCGUGGGGAAUCUGCCUUUGAGCGGGGGACAACAUUUGGAAACGAAUGCUAAUACCGCAUAACAUCUUUAAACAUAAGUUUUAAGUGUGAAAGAUGCAAUUGCUUUACUCAAAGGUGAUCCCCCGUUGUAUUAGCUAGGUGGUGAGGUAAAGGGCCGCCCAGGCGAAGUAAGAUAGCCGGACUGAGAGGGGGGUCGGCCAAAUUGGGACUGAGACACGGCUCAAGAGCCUAAGGGGAGGAGCAGGAAGGGAACUUCGGGAAUGGGCGAAAGGCUGGCCGGACAACGCCGCGGGGGGGGAUAAGGUUUUCGGGUCCGAAAACUCUGGUGGUAGGGAAGAAAGUAGGUGGGAGUGGAAAGCGCACCUAGUGACGGUAACUAAUCAGAAAGGCACGGCUAACUACGUG
RNAcentral lists this ribosomal RNA (497 nucleotides) under uncultured bacterium. RNAcentral describes it as "partial 16S ribosomal RNA". It matches the Rfam family "Bacterial small subunit ribosomal RNA", at positions 28 to 507 of the family's 1533-position model. The record is from RNAcentral.